This 383-nucleotide RNase P RNA is filed under the name Rhodospirillaceae bacterium. Its description in RNAcentral is "RNase P RNA component class A". It matches the Rfam family "Bacterial RNase P class A". From Rfam's summary of the family: Ribonuclease P (RNase P) is a ubiquitous endoribonuclease, found in archaea, bacteria and eukarya as well as chloroplasts and mitochondria. Its best characterised activity is the generation of mature 5'-ends of tRNAs by cleaving the 5'-leader elements of precursor-tRNAs. The record is from RNAcentral. Lineage: Bacteria; Pseudomonadati; Pseudomonadota; Alphaproteobacteria; Rhodospirillales; Rhodospirillaceae.
CCAGACGGUCGGAUGGUUGCGGCCCCGUAAGGGAUCGAGGAAAGUCCGGGCUCCAUGGAAACACGGUGCCGGUUAACGGCCGGCGGGGGCGACCCCAGGGAAAGUGCCACAGAAAGCAAACCGCCUUUUGCUUCGGCAAAGGGUAAGGGUGAAAGGGUGCGGUAAGAGCGCACCGCGCUUCCGGUGACGGGAGCGGCAGGGUAAACCCCACCGGGAGCAAGACCGAGUAGGAACGGCCGGUGACUUCGGGUCACAGGCGGGUUUUCACGUCGUCGUUCGGGUGUGUCGCACGAGGCGUCCGGUAACGGGCGUCCCAGAUGAAUAACCAUCUAUCGCAAGUUUACUUGCGUGGACAGAACCCGGCUUACAGACCGUCUGGCAUU